UUGUGUUUUAAUUUUUUAUUUUAUUUUUGUAAAAUGUUUUUAAUUUUUAUUUUUGUUUGAGUAAAUAUUUAAAAUUUGUUUUGUGAACUGGAUUAGUACCCAGGUAACCAAAAUUUAUUAAUUCGGGAGUAAAGUUGUAUUUAAACCGAAAGAAUAUUGACUGACUUUAGAUUUUUCUUUGGAAUAUGUGCUUGGAGAGCCCUCCUUAUUAGUUUAUUUUUUUUGGCUCAUGUAUGAUUGUUUUGUUAUUAUAUUAUAUAUAAUGCUUUAGACUUUUUUGUUUUAAAACAGAUAUAUAUUUGGCUUAUAAAUUUUUUUUGCAUGUAUUACUAUUAUUAAUUUUUUUUGGAUAUUUUUUUUAUUUUUUUUUGAAAUUGGAAAAGAAAGUAAUUGUAUUCUUUAGUGUUUUAAUGAAUUU
This 418-nucleotide ribosomal RNA is filed under the name Acanthocheilonema odendhali. Its description in RNAcentral is "partial 12S ribosomal RNA". Lineage: Eukaryota; Metazoa; Nematoda; Chromadorea; Rhabditida; Onchocercidae. The record is from RNAcentral.